Molecule: microRNA precursor, 63 nt
Filed under: Strongylocentrotus purpuratus (purple sea urchin)
Lineage: Eukaryota; Metazoa; Echinodermata; Echinoidea; Camarodonta; Strongylocentrotidae
Description: Spu-Mir-10-P3_pre stem-loop
Source: RNAcentral
UCCCUGAGACCCUAACUUGUGAUGUGCUUUUAUCAAAUCACACAGGUUGGUAUCUCAGGAAUU